CUUGCUGGUGGAUUAGUGGCGAACGGGUGAGUAACACGUGAGUAACCUGCCCUUGACUCUGGGAUAAGCCUGGGAAACUGGGUCUAAUACCGGAUAUGACCUUCCAUCGCAUGGUGGUUGGUGGAAAGCUUUUGUGGUUUUGGAUGGACUCGCGGCCUAUCAGCUUGUUGGUGGGGUAAUGGCCUACCAAGGCGACGACGGGUAGCCGGCCUGAGAGGGUGACCGGCCACACUGGGACUGAGACACGGCCCAGACUCCUACGGGAGGCAGCAGUGGGGAAUAUUGCACAAUGGGCGAAAGCCUGAUGCAGCGACGCCGCGUGAGGGAUGACGGCCUUCGGGUUGUAAACCUCUUUCAGUAGGGAAGAAGCGUAAGUGACGGUACCUGCAGAAGAAGCGCCGGCUAACUACGUGCCAGCAGCCGCGGUAAUACGUAGGGCGCAAGCGUUAUCCGGAAUUAUUGGGCGUAAAGAGCUCGUAGGCGGUUUGUCGCGUCUGCCGUGAAAGUCCGGGGCUCAACUCCGGAUCUGCGGUGGGUACGGGCAGACUAGAGUGAUGUAGGGGAGACUGGAAUUCCUGGUGUAGCGGUGAAAUGCGCAGAUAUCAGGAGGAACACCGAUG
Molecule: ribosomal RNA, 620 nt
Filed under: Pseudarthrobacter niigatensis
Lineage: Bacteria; Bacillati; Actinomycetota; Actinomycetes; Micrococcales; Micrococcaceae
Also listed under: 1 other name
Description: bacterial SSU rRNA
Rfam family: Bacterial small subunit ribosomal RNA
Source: RNAcentral